RNAcentral lists this ribosomal RNA (614 nucleotides) under uncultured bacterium. Its description in RNAcentral is "bacterial SSU rRNA". The stretch from base 1 to 532 matches the Rfam family "Bacterial small subunit ribosomal RNA", at positions 338 to 873 of the family's 1533-position model. The record is from RNAcentral.
CCUACGGGAGGCAGCAGUAAGGAAUAUUGGUCAAUGGACGCAAGUCUGAACCAGCCAUGCCGCGUGAAGGAUGAAGGUCCUCUGGAUUGUAAACUUCUUUUAUCUGGGACGAAACCCAUCUUUUCUAAGGUGAUUGACGGUACCAGAGGAAUAAGCACCGGCUAACUCCGUGCCAGCAGCCGCGGUAAUACGGAGGGUGCAAGCGUUAUCCGGAUUCACUGGGUUUAAAGGGUGCGUAGGUGGGUUGCCAAGUCCGUGGUGAAAUCUCCGAGCUUAACUCGGAAACUGCCAUGGAUACUGGUAGUCUUGAAUUAUCUGGAGGUCAGCGGAAUAUGUCAUGUAGCAGUGAAAUGCUUAGAUAUGACAUAGAACACCAAUUGCGAAGGCAGCUGACUACGGGUAUAUUGACACUGAGGCACGAAAGCGUGGGGAUCAAACAGGAUUAGAUACCCUGGUAGUCCACGCCCUAAACUAUGGAUACUCGACAUUCGCGAUACACAGUGAGUGUCUGAGNGAAGANAUAGUAUCCACCNGGAGACGACCGCGAGUAGAACGUACAAUAGAGUUAGACGGACGUUAGAGACGNGCCGACGGACGACGACGAGGGAGGAGGG